RNAcentral lists this ribosomal RNA (395 nucleotides) under uncultured bacterium. RNAcentral describes it as "bacterial SSU rRNA". It matches the Rfam family "Bacterial small subunit ribosomal RNA", at positions 28 to 426 of the family's 1533-position model. The record is from RNAcentral.
GAUGAACGCUGGCGGCGUGCUUAACACAUGCAAGUCGAACGUGAGGGGGUACUUGUAUCCCUGAAAGUGGCGGACGGGUGCGUAACACGUAGGAACCUGCCCUGGAGCGGGGGAUAACCACGGGAAACUGUGGCUAAUACCGCAUAAGUUUGGAGUGACGGGAGUGCUGCAAGCAAAAAUUUCGGUGCUCUGGGAGGGGCCUGCGGUCGAUUAGCUAGUUGGUGGGGUAAAGGCCUACCAAGGCGANGAUCGAUAGCUGUUCUGAGAGGAAGACCAGCCACACGGGAACUGAGAAACGGUCCCGACUCCUACGGGGGCAGCAGUGAGGAAUAUUGCACAAUGGGGGAAACCCUGAUGCAGCAACGCCGCGUGAAGGAUGAAGGCUUUCGAGUUGU